GACGAACGCUGGCGGCGUGCCUAACACAUGCAAGUCGAACGGACAGACCCUGCUUUUGCGGGUUGCACGUUUGCCGAAGGCGUGAGUAAAACGUGUGUAUCCCGCCCCUGUCUUUGGGGUAACUCUAGGAAACUCGGGCGAAUACCCGAUAGGAGCUCCUGCUCCACGGUGGGGGAUGGAAAGAUUCGGCGGUUUGGGCUCGACUCGCGGCUUAUCAGCUUGUUUGUGGGGUAGUUGAUUACCAAGGGUUUGACGGGUAGCCGGCCUGGGAGGGGGAACGGCCACCUGGGGACUGAGGGACGGCCCAGACGCCUACGGGAGGCAGCGGUGGGGAGUAUGGCGGAGUGGGCGGAAGCCUGAUGCAGCAGCCCUGCGUGCGGGAUGCCGGCUUUCGAGUUGUAAACAGCUGUGGCAUGUGACGAAGCGGGAGUGACGGUAAUGAGUAAAGAAGCAACGGCUAACUACGUG
This 468-nucleotide ribosomal RNA is filed under the name uncultured bacterium. RNAcentral describes it as "partial 16S ribosomal RNA". It matches the Rfam family "Bacterial small subunit ribosomal RNA", at positions 28 to 507 of the family's 1533-position model. The record is from RNAcentral.